Molecule: ribosomal RNA, 497 nt
Filed under: uncultured bacterium
Lineage: Bacteria
Description: partial 16S ribosomal RNA
Rfam family: Bacterial small subunit ribosomal RNA
Source: RNAcentral
GAUGAACGCUGGCGGCGUGCCUAAUACAUGCAAGUCGAGCGAACAGAUAAGGAGCUUGCUCCUUUGACGUUAGCGGCGGACGGGUGAGUAACACGUGGGUAACCCACCUAUAAGACUGGGAUAACUUCGGGAAACCGGAGCUAAUACCGGAUAACAUUUGGAACCGCAUGGUUCUAAAGUGAAAGAUGGUUUUGCUAUCACUUAUAGAUGGACCCGCGCCGUAUUAGCUAGUUGGUAAGGUAACGGCUUACCAAGGCGACGAUACGUAGCCGACCUGAGAGGGUGAUCGGCCACACUGGAACUGAGACACGGUCCAGACUCCUACGGGAGGCAGCAGUAGGGAAUCUUCCGCAAUGGGCGAAAGCCUGACGGAGCAACGCCGCGUGAGUGAUGAAGGGUUUCGGCUCGUAAAACUCUGUUAUUAGGGAAGAACAAAUGUGUAAGUAACUGUGCACGUCUUGACGGUACCUAAUCAGAAAGCCACGGCUAACUACGUG